This 462-nucleotide ribosomal RNA is filed under the name uncultured Desulfobulbus sp. RNAcentral describes it as "bacterial SSU rRNA". It matches the Rfam family "Bacterial small subunit ribosomal RNA", at positions 925 to 1382 of the family's 1533-position model. Lineage: Bacteria; Pseudomonadati; Thermodesulfobacteriota; Desulfobulbia; Desulfobulbales; Desulfobulbaceae. The record is from RNAcentral.
ACAAGCGGUGGAGUAUGUGGUUUAAUUCGAUGCAACGCGAAGAACCUUACCUGGUCUUGACAUCCCGGAGACCCUUAGGAACUAGGGGUGCUUCCAUCUGGAAGAAUCUGGAGACAGGUGCUGCAUGGCUGUCGUCAGCUCGUGUCGUGAGAUGUUGGGUUAAGUCCCGCAACCGAGCGCAACCCUUGCCUUUAGUUGCCAGCAGUUCGGCUGGGCACUCUAAAGGGACUGCCGGUGUUAAACCGGAGGAAGGUGGGGAUGACGUCAAGUCCUCAUGGCCUUUAUGACCAGGGCUACACACGUACUACAAUGGCCGAUACAAAGGGCAGCGACACUGCGAGGUGAAGCCAAUCCCGUAAAACCGGUCCCAGUACGGAUUGGAGUCUGCAACCCGACUCCAUGAAGUUGGAAUCGCUAGUAAUCGCGCAUCAGCAUGGCGCGGUGAAUACGUUCCCGGGCCUU